AUCUACAGCCAAACAACACUGAAUGUGUCUGAUCUCGGAAGCUAAGCAGGGUCGGGCCUGGUUAGUACUUGGAUGGGAGACCCCCUGGGAAUACCAGGUGCUGUAGGCU
Molecule: ribosomal RNA, 109 nt
Organism: Rhinopithecus bieti (black snub-nosed monkey)
Lineage: Eukaryota; Metazoa; Chordata; Mammalia; Primates; Cercopithecidae
Source: Ensembl